RNAcentral lists this ribosomal RNA (266 nucleotides) under uncultured bacterium. RNAcentral describes it as "partial 16S ribosomal RNA". It matches the Rfam family "Bacterial small subunit ribosomal RNA", at positions 793 to 1055 of the family's 1533-position model. The record is from RNAcentral.
GUCCACGCCGUAAACGAUGAGUGCUAGGUGCUGCGGGUAUUGACCCCUGCGGUGCCGUAGCUAACGCGUUAAGCACUCCGCCUGGGGAGUACGGCCGCAAGGCUAAAACUCAAAGGAAUUGACGGGGGCCCGCACAAGCGGUGGAGCAUGUGGUUCAAUUCGACGCAACGCGCAGAACCUUACCUGGGUUAAAUCCACUCAAACCUGGCAGAGAUGCCGGGGGUGCCUUUCGGGGAAUGAGUGAGAAGGUGCUGCAUGGCUGUCGU